RNAcentral lists this non-coding RNA (21 nucleotides) under Rattus norvegicus (Norway rat). Lineage: Eukaryota; Metazoa; Chordata; Mammalia; Rodentia; Muridae. The record is from RNAcentral.
AUGGAUGAAUGGGUGGAUGAU